Lampris incognitus (smalleye Pacific opah) is the source of this 734-nucleotide long non-coding RNA. RefSeq lists it as uncharacterized. NCBI's taxonomy places the organism in Eukaryota, Metazoa, Chordata, Actinopteri, Lampriformes, Lampridae. The transcript is spliced from 3 exons. The record is from RefSeq and is a predicted model, not a curated record.
UGAGCAAGCGGCCGAAGAGGGAUCUUGCUUGAGGCAGAGGCACUGAAUUGAAUUGAACGCGCGAAGCAUUUGCUAGGAGGGGCAGGGGCGGCGAGCGGGUUCGAAUACUGCGCUCUGAUUGGCCGAAAGCUUUACGCUCCACUUCCAUAGAUUGCUGUGGCUCAGCGGCAGAAUCAACUUCAUAAAAUGCAUGGAAACUGAAACCGGCGAGAUGCGAGAUGCAACAAAAUGCGUACCUGGAGAGCAGUGAAGCGUACAAGUGCACUUAAGGGUCAAGAUGCGUGCCGAGUACGAGGAAUGGUACAUGUUGGCAGAUGAACCAGAGGAGGGCAAGGAUAAAAAUCCUCGGACAAAAUUGGCGAGCCAGCCAGAUGGGCAAUAUCAGGAACCGGACGCCUGUGGGGCCCUGACUUUGGGGAGAACCUGGACUGAUCCAACAUUAACCAACCCAUAGAUGAUGAUGAAGCGCGAUCCAACAAAGACCUCAACGGCGCAACUGGUGAAAGAUGUCUCCGGGUCACAACGGCAGUGAAGGCGGAUGAAGGCGGCAACAGAGGGUGGUGGACUCUGGUCACCCCCCGCCAAGGACCGUGUGGUGGCUGCAGGCACAUCAGCCACUCCAUGUAAAAAGCUGUCAAACGCAGGUAUCCUCCUAUUACGCGGCUCCAGGAUCAGCCUCUACACCCACCUGAGGACCCAGAGGGAGGGCGGUCUUACUCAACCCUGAGUGACCC